RNAcentral lists this ribosomal RNA (397 nucleotides) under uncultured bacterium. Its description in RNAcentral is "partial 16S ribosomal RNA". It matches the Rfam family "Bacterial small subunit ribosomal RNA", at positions 523 to 918 of the family's 1533-position model. The record is from RNAcentral.
AUACGUAGGUGGCAAGCGUUGUCCGGAAUUAUUGGGCGUAAAGCGCGCGCAGGUGGUUCCUUAAGUCUGAUGUGAAAGCCCCCGGCUCAACCGGGGAGGGUCAUUGGAAACUGGGGAACUUGAGUGCAGAAGAGGAUAGUGGAAUUCCAAGUGUAGCGGUGAAAUGCGUAGAGAUUUGGAGGAACACCAGUGGCGAAGGCGACUUUCUGGUCUGUAACUGACGCUGAGGCGCGAAAGCGUGGGGAGCAAACAGGAUUAGAUACCCUGGUAGUCCACGCCGUAAACGAUGAGUGCUAAGUGUUAGGGGGUUUCCGCCCCUUAGUGCUGCAGCUAACGCAUUAAGCACUCCGCCUGGGGAGUACGGUCGCAAGACUGAAACUUAAAUGAAUUGACGGGG